Molecule: small nuclear RNA, 190 nt
Filed under: Oncorhynchus mykiss (rainbow trout)
Lineage: Eukaryota; Metazoa; Chordata; Actinopteri; Salmoniformes; Salmonidae
Also listed under: 1 other name
Description: U2 spliceosomal RNA (ENSOMYG00000059671.1)
Rfam family: U2 spliceosomal RNA
About the family: U2 is a small nuclear RNA (snRNA) component of the spliceosome (involved in pre-mRNA splicing). Complementary binding between U2 snRNA (in an area lying towards the 5' end but 3' to hairpin I) and the branchpoint sequence (BPS) of the intron results the bulging out of an unpaired adenosine, on the BPS, which initiates a nucleophilic attack at the intronic 5' splice site, thus starting the first of two transesterification reactions that mediate splicing.
Source: RNAcentral
AUCGCUUCUCGGCCUUUUGGCUCAGAUCAAGUGUAGUAUCUGUUCUUAUCAGUUUAAUAUCUGAUACGUCCCCCAUCGGGGACUACAUAUUAAAUGGAUUUUUCGAACAGGGAGUCGGAAAUGGGGCUUGCUCCGUCCGCUCCACGCAUCGACCCGGUAUUGCAGUACCUCCGGGAACGGUGCAACACUU